Molecule: ribosomal RNA, 985 nt
Filed under: uncultured Chloroflexota bacterium
Lineage: Bacteria; Bacillati; Chloroflexota
Description: bacterial SSU rRNA
Rfam family: Bacterial small subunit ribosomal RNA
Source: RNAcentral
CCAGCCGCCGCGGUAAUACGUAGGGGGCGAGCGUUAUCCGGAUUUAUUGGGCGUAAAGGGCGCGCAGGCGGCCACUUGCAGUGGCGCGUGGAAUCUCUCGGCUCAACCGGGAGGGGCCGUGCCAGACGGGGUGGCUUGAGGUGGGGAGAGGCUCGCGGAACGGGCGGAGUAGGGGUGAAAUCCGUAGAGACCAUCCGGAACACCAAUAGCGAAGGCAGCGAGCUAGGCCCAUCCUGACGCUCGGGCGCGAAAGCGUGGGGAGCGAACGGAAUUAGAUACUCCGGUAGUCCACGCCCUAAACGAUGUCGACUCGGUGUUGGGGGUAUCGACCCCUCCGGCGCCUUAGCAAACGCGGUAAGUCGACCGCCUGGGGACUACGGCCGCAAGGCUAAAACUCAAAGGAAUUGACGGGGGCCCGCACAAGCAGCGGAGCGUGUGGAUUAAUUCGAUGCAACGCGAAGAACCUCACCCAGGCUUGACCUGCACGUGGUACUGACCUGAAAGGGAAGGGACCCGCAAGGGAGCGUGCGCAGGUGCUGCAUGGCUGUCGUCAGCUCGUGCCGUGAGGUGUUGGGUUAAGUCCCGCAACGAGCGCAACCCCCGUCCCCAGUUGUGAUGUCUGGGGAGACUGCCGGGCGAACCCCGGAGGAAGGUGGGGAUGACGUCAAGUCCGCAUGGCCCUUACGCUUGGGGCUUCACACACGCUACAAUGGCCGGUACAGCGGGAUGCCACUCAGCGAUGAGGCGCCAAUCCCCCAAAGCCGGCCUCAGUACGGAUUGGAGGCUGCAACUCGCCUCCAUGAAGUCGGAGUUGCUAGUAACCGCGCGUCAGCACAGUGCGGUGAAUGCGUUCCCGGGCCUUGUACACACCGCCCGUCACACCACGAAAGCUGGCAAGACUCGAAUGCCGUAGGCCAACCUGCAAGGGGGGCAGCGGUCGAGAGUCGGGUUGGUGAUUGGGGUGAAGUCGUAACAAGGUAACCAA